RNAcentral lists this ribosomal RNA (377 nucleotides) under Oophana strangulatus. RNAcentral's name for it is "partial large subunit ribosomal RNA". Lineage: Eukaryota; Metazoa; Mollusca; Gastropoda; Stylommatophora; Streptaxidae. The record is from RNAcentral.
AGCUAUAUGUUUUUAUAUUUAGUUAUUUCUGCCCGGUGAUAUUUAAACGGCCGCAGUACUUUGACUGUGCUAAGGUAGCAUAAUCAAUUGACUUUUAAUUGAAGUCUGGAAUGAAUGGUAAAAUGGGAAAAAUCUGUCUCUAGAAAAAUUUUUAAAAUUUAUUAAUAAGGUGAAAAUACCUUAAGUUUUAAAAAAGACGAGAAGACCCUUAGAGUUUUUUUGUUGGGGUGACAAAUAAGCUAACCUUAUUUUUUUUUAGAUUAAGCUACCUUAGGGAUAACAGCAUAAUAUUUUAUUAAGAUUGUGACCUCGAUGUUGGACUAGGAAAUUAAUAAUUAGAAAUUAAAAUAAAUAGUCGUGUUCGAACAAUUACUCCU